UUUGCCUACGGGAGGCAGCAGUGGGGAAUAUUGGGCAAUGGGCGCAAGCCUGACCCAGCAACGCCGCGUGAAGGAAGAAGGCUUUCGGGUUGUAACCUUCUUUUCUCAGGGACGAAGCAAGUGACGGUACCUGAGGACUCAGCCACGGCUAACUACGUGCCCGCAGCCGCGGUAAUACGUAGGUGGCAAGCGUUAUCCGGAUUUACUGGGUGUAAAGGGCGUGUAGGCGGGGACGCACGUCAGCUGUG
Molecule: ribosomal RNA, 248 nt
Filed under: uncultured bacterium
Lineage: Bacteria
Description: partial 16S ribosomal RNA
Rfam family: Bacterial small subunit ribosomal RNA
Source: RNAcentral